This is a long non-coding RNA of Mercenaria mercenaria, 3682 nucleotides long. RefSeq lists it as uncharacterized. The transcript is spliced from 8 exons. Lineage: Eukaryota; Metazoa; Mollusca; Bivalvia; Venerida; Veneridae. The record is from RefSeq and is a predicted model, not a curated record.
GAAAUUGUUUCAGAAGAUGAUAAAGGAAAAUUGGUAGAGGUAAAGGAGACAAAUGAUGGUGAAAAGUAGAAAUAUCACAAGUUAACAGUCAGUAAGGGAAAUGACUCCAGCCAGUAACUCGACAAGUCAUGAGCUUGCAAAAUAUGUCACAGAAAGGCGGGUUUAUGGAGCUGCUGCAGAUCACCCAGUCUUGCUUAAACUAGAAGUUGUCAAACUGCUACACAGAUUUUGAGGAAACUUCACAGGAGUGAUCAGUACAAAGCCUAGUUAUGCAUAUUGCCGACAUGUUCUGCUUUGCUGCAGAAAAUGGCCGCCAGAGCUAAAGGUGAUCUACAACAUGAUUCUACAGCUGCCAAUAAACUUCGGUAGAGGAGCUGGAGGGGAAUGGAGUGAGCAGAUUGCAGUACAGUCAAACCUGUCUAUAAAGACCACCCUUGGGAGAGCCAAAAUGUGGUCUUUAUUGGGAGGUGGUCGUUAUUCAUAGGUUAAAAUAUAUUGUAAAUGUUAAAAUGGGAAACAAAACAUGUGUUCUUUAGAGCCAGGUGGUCUCUGUUCAGAGGUGGUCUUUAACACCGGUUUGACUGUAUACACAUCAGUGGCAGUGGAACAGGCAGACUCCAAUACAUACUACAUCUGUGGGAAAAGCACAAUGAAGUUCAGCUGUUUCCAGCUUGAAACACAUGGUAUGAUUUGUCCGCGAUCCGUAGACCAGAGCUCUCCCUACUGAGACAGCAGUAUCCAAUGUGGACAGCCUAGGAAGUCCUCAUCAAGUUGCAGUAGAUUCAUUGAAAAAAGAAAUGGAAGGUUGAAGUUGCAAGGAGAGACUGAUGGAAAAUGACAGUGACUGGACAGACAAUGAUGAUGGUGAAGAAGUAUAGAAAACUUGGGAAAACUUUUAAUAGUGGUCAUCAACAUGCAGUCAUUGAUUCCAGUAUUCCAGCCAAUGUAUCUCUCUCAUAGCCCACAAGAAGCAAUACCAGGAAAUAUGUGACAUUCAUCAGCCAGGUAGUCAUUUACUCCAAGUGGCAAGGUUAGAUACAGCCUGACACCAAAAUUCCCAUUCUUGGAAAAGGAGUGGAUGUUUUGUGCUGUGGACACUGCAGAAUCGUGGAUUUGACAGUUUUAACUUGAAUUGGCUAAAAAGGAUGUUGAUAUUGAUGCACUUCCUCGUAGCAACUUCAGUCCUACAGAUAUAUAAGGGGAGGCAAAAAUUAUCACUGUUGACCUAGAAACCAUUGACCUAAUUAUAUUGGGAAGAUGCCACAUGUCGCACAAAGCUCCAUACCACAACAAAAUCGCUAUAGCACAAAUAUCUAUGUCACACCUGAAAAGGAAAUUUCACCAGAGGCACAAAGGAUCACCAGGAUUGCAUGGAAUAUUCAGACACGAUGACCAUAAAAGCACAAUACCUGGAAUUAAGUCCACUGUAGAGAAAUUGUGUACUUAGCUUGAAAAGAUCCUAAAGUGAUUUUGGUAGCCGGUUAUGGAAGACAAUUUGAUUUUCCAGUUCUUGUCUCAGCUCUACUGUGCACAGAAAUAACUAGGACAUUAUUCAGUUUCUUCUGAAAAGUAUUCUUUUACCAGUGUUCAAUAAACUGUACCCUAAAUAGUCAUACCUGCUAUGACACUACUUGGUAUCCGGUACAAUGCCUAUAACUGACAGACAGACAAAUUUACUAUGAAAAACUGGGAAGGCCAGCCAAGGGUUUUCAUAUGUUAAAGAAAAAUUUCAAGCAGUGACGUAUACUCCUGAUAAAUUUGGUACCAUAAUGUUCAUUAUCUUAAGUAAAAAAUGACAAUUGUAAUUGGAAAUUUGAAUUGUGUUAUUUUACUCUAUAUUUAAGAAAAUUAAUGUAUUCAAACUUGUAAUUUUUUUCAUUUGUUAAAAUGUUAUAUUAUAGCUUUAAGCCUUAAUACCCUCUUUUUACAGUCUGCCUAAAGAAACACUUUAGUUGUUCUUGUGUAUUAUUUAGCCAUUUCCUUGAUUAAAAAUACACAACAAACUUCUAGCUCAAGACUUUCCAAGGUUGACAAGUUAUUACUUUCUUUGAUUUUGCUUAAGUUUGUUAAUUAUUUUUAAAUACUUUUGUUCAAAAUUUAUUAAGGUGUAAAACCUUUAAAUAAUAUCCUUAAGCAACAAAUGUUAUCAUUCAAUAGUAAAGUAAGAAGAAGACAACCUUUACUGUAAGCUAGCCCGCCCGCUUAGCUCAGUAGGUAAGAGCGUCGGUCUACGGAUCACGGGGUCGUGAGUUCGAUCCUCGGGCGGGGCAUAUGUUCUUCGUGACUAUUUGAUAAACGACAUUGUGUCUGAAAUCAUUAGUCCUCCACCUCUGAUUCAUGUGGGGAAGUUGGCAGUUACUUGCGGAGAACAGGUUUGUACUGGUACAGAAUCCAGGAACACUGGUUAGGUUAACUGCCCACCGUUACAUGACUGAAAUACUGUUGAAAAACGGCGUUAAACCAAAACAAACAAACAAACAAACAAAUUUACUGUAAGCUAAUACAGCUUUCUGUCCAAUGCCUGAAAUGUUUUUUUGUAAAUAUUUCAUGACUUUCUGAAUAAAAAUGUUUAAUUUAAAACUAUAAGUAAAGUAUAUAAACUUUUAAGGAGCAAGAAGACAAAAUUUCAUUUCAACUCGUGUAUAAAAUUAACUUUGUGAUAUUUUUCUUAGUGAUAAGUUUCUCAGUGAUAACUACACAUUUAAUUUUAUAUCUGUAUAGAUUUUUGUAGAGUUAAUUCAGGGGUAUACAAGACAAUAUUUAUAAAGAUUUUUUUAUGUUUUAAGCUACCUAACUAUUUAUAUGAGAGAAAAUUGAAAUUCUACUUCACUAUACUUACAUAUUACUGAAAAUUGGAAAUAAGCGAAAUUGUUACUUUCAUGGUUUAUCCCAGGCAGAAAGAUCAUCAUUUUUUUCCUGAUAUUUAUGUAUUAGCUUGAUUACACUUGUAAAGUACAAACAUAUAAGGGCUUACUGCAUAUUUAAUAAUUCAAAUAUUUUUGAUUUCUGUACCACUUUGUAUUUCUGUUACAAUUGGAUCUUACGCCUUAAUAAAAUUGAACUGAAUUGGAUUUUAAACUGAAACUGAACUGAACUGAAUUUUAAACUGGAACCAAACUGAACUGAACUGAAUUUGAAACAGAAACUGAACUGAAUUUUAAACUGGAACCAAACUGAACUGAACUGAAUUUGAAACAGAAACUGAACUGAAUUUUAAACUGGAACCAAACUGAACUGAACUGAAUUUGAAACAGAAAUUGAAAACCAAACUGACCUGAACUGAAUUUGAAACAGAAACUGAACUGAAUUUUAAACUGGAACCAAACUGAACUGAACUGAAUUUGAAACAGAAACUGAAAGCCAAACUGAACUGAACUGAAUUUGAAACAGAAACUGAACUGAAUUUUACACUGAAACUGAACUGAACUGAAUAUAGCUGGGUAAAAAACUAUAGUACAGCUUGCAAUAAGAGACCACCAAAGGGAAGGAAAAACAUGUUCUGUUUAUGCAACAUAGUUUGUUCUUUGAUAACGUAAAAAAAAGGAAUUGAAAAAGUGGUCUCUUAAUGCGAGUAGUCUCUAAAUCAAAUGUACUUGAUGAAACUUAUGCUUUUGUGCUGCAAAUUUUGUAAUGUAGUUUUGUUGUCUUUUUGAUGAUUUCUCUAAAUAAACUUUAAACAUUA